GUCUGAAUAUGGGGGGACCAUCCUCCAAGGCUAAAUACUCCUGACUGACCGAUAGUGAACCAGUACCGUGAGGGAAAGGCGAAAAGAACCCCGGCGAGGGGAGUGAAAAAGAACCUGAAACCGUGUACGUACAAGCAGUGGGAGCCUCUUUUAUGGGGUGACUGCGUACCUUUUGUAUAAUGGGUCAGCGACUUAUAUUCUGUAGCAAGGUUAACCGAAUAGGGGAGCCGAAGGGAAACCGAGUCUUAACUGGGCGUUAAGUUGCAGGGUAUAGACCCGAAACCCGGUGAUCUAGCCAUGGGCAGGUUGAAGGUUGGGUAACACUAACUGGAGGACCGAACCGACUAAUGUUGAAAAAUUAGCGGAUGACUUGUGGCUGGGGGUGAAAGGCCAAUCAAACCGGGAGAUAGCUGGUUCUCCCCGAAAGCUAUUUAGGUAGCGCCUCGUGAAUUCAUCUCCGGGGGUAGAGCACUGUUUCGGCAAGGGGGUCAUCCCGACUUACCAACCCGAUGCAAACUGCGAAUACCGGAGAAUGUUAUCACGGGAGACACACGGCGGGUGCUAACGUCCGUCGUGAAGAGGGAAACAACCCAGACCGCCAGCUAAGGUCCCAAAGUCAUGGUUAAGUGGGAAACGAUGUGGGAAGGCCCAGACAGCCAGGAUGUUGGCUUAGAAGCAGCCAUCAUUUAAAGAAAGCGUAAUAGCUCACUGGUCGAGUCGGCCUGCGCGGAAGAUGUAACGGGGCUAAACCAUGCACCGAAGCUGCGGCAGCGACGCUUAUGCGUUGUUGGGUAGGGGAGCGUUCUGUAAGCCUGUGAAGGUGUGCUGUGAGGCAUGCUGGAGGUAUCAGAAGUGCGAAUGCUGACAUAAGUAACGAUAAAGCGGGUGAAAAGCCCGCUCGCCGGAAGACCAAGGGUUCCUGUCCAACGUUAAUCGGGGCAGGGUGAGUCGACCCCUAAGGCGAGGCCGAAAGGCGUAGUCGAUGGGAAACAGGUUAAUAUUCCUGUACUUGGUGUUACUGCGAAGGGGGGACGGAGAAGGCUAUGUUGGCCGGGCGACGGUUGUCCCGGUUUAAGCGUGUAGGCUGGUUUUCCAGGCAAAUCCGGAAAAUCAAGGCUGAGGCGUGAUGACGAGGCACUACGGUGCUGAAGCAACAAAUGCCCUGCUUCCAGGAAAAGCCUCUAAGCAUCAGGUAACAUCAAAUCGUACCCCAAACCGACACAGGUGGUCAGGUAGAGAAUACCAAGGCGCUUGAGAGAACUCGGGUGAAGGAACUAGGCAAAAUGGUGCCGUAACUUCGGGAGAAGGCACGCUGAUAUGUAGGUGAAGUCCCUUGCGGAUGGAGCUGAAAUCAGUCGAAGAUACCAGCUGGCUGCAACUGUUUAUUAAAAACACAGCACUGUGCAAACACGAAAGUGGACGUAUACGGUGUGACGCCUGCCCGGUGCCGGAAGGUUAAUUGAUGGGGUCAGCGCAAGCGAAGCUCUUGAUCGAAGCCCCGGUAAACGGCGGCCGUAACUAUAACGGUCCUAAGGUAGCGAAAUUCCUUGUCGGGUAAGUUCCGACCUGCACGAAUGGCGUAAUGAUGGCCAGGCUGUCUCCACCCGAGACUCAGUGAAAUUGAACUCGCUGUGAAGAUGCAGUGUACCCGCGGCAAGACGGAAAGACCCCGUGAACCUUUACUAUAGCUUGACACUGAACAUUGAGCCUUGAUGUGUAGGAUAGGUGGGAGGCUUUGAAGUGUGGACGCCAGUCUGCAUGGAGCCGACCUUGAAAUACCACCCUUUAAUGUUUGAUGUUCUAACGUGGACCCGUGAUCCGGGUUGCGGACAGUGUCUGGUGGGUAGUUUGACUGGGGCGGUCUCCUCCUAAAGAGUAACGGAGGAGCACGAAGGUUGGCUAAUCCUGGUCGGACAUCAGGAGGUUAGUGCAAUGGCAUAAGCCAGCUUGACUGCGAGCGUGACGGCGCGAGCAGGUGCGAAAGCAGGUCAUAGUGAUCCGGUGGUUCUGAAUGGAAGGGCCAUCGCUCAACGGAUAAAAGGUACUCCGGGGAUAACAGGCUGAUACCGCCCAAGAGUUCAUAUCGACGGCGGUGUUUGGCACCUCGAUGUCGGCUCAUCACAUCCUGGGGCUGAAGUAGGUCCCAAGGGUAUGGCUGUUCGCCAUUUAAAGUGGUACGCGAGCUGGGUUUAGAACGUCGUGAGACAGUUCGGUCCCUAUCUGCCGUGGGCGCUGGAGAACUGAGGGGGGCUGCUCCUAGUACGAGAGGACCGGAGUGGACGCAUCACUGGUGUUCGGGUUGUCAUGCCAAUGGCACUGCCCGGUAGCUAAAUGCGGAAGAGAUAAGUGCUGAAAGCAUCUAAGCACGAAACUUGCC
Molecule: ribosomal RNA, 2377 nt
Filed under: Escherichia coli
Lineage: Bacteria; Pseudomonadati; Pseudomonadota; Gammaproteobacteria; Enterobacterales; Enterobacteriaceae
Description: partial 23S ribosomal RNA
Rfam family: Bacterial large subunit ribosomal RNA
Source: RNAcentral